GAUGAACGCUGGCGGCGUGCCUAAUACAUGCGAGUCGAGCGAACAGACGAGGAGCUUGCUCCUCUGACGUUAGCGGCGGACGGGUGAGUAACACGUGGAUAACCUACCUAUAAGACUGGGAUAACUUCGGGAAACCGGAGCUAAUACCGGAUAAUAUAUUGAACCGCAUGGUUCAAUAGUGAAAGACGGUUUUGCUGUCACUUAUAGAUGGAUCCGCGCCGCAUUAGCUAGUUGGUAAGGUAACGGCUUACCAAGGCGACGAUGCGUAGCCGACCUGAGAGGGUGAUCGGCCACACUGGAACUGAGACACGGUCCAGACUCCUACGGGAGGCAGCAGUAGGGAAUCUUCCGCAAUGAGCGAAAGCCUGACGGAGCAACGCCGCGUGAGUGAUGAAGGUCUUCGGACCGUAAAACUCUGUUAUUAGGGAAGAACAAAUGUGUAAGUAACUAUGCACGUCUUGACGGUACCUAAUCAGAAAGCCACGGCUAACUACGUG
This 497-nucleotide ribosomal RNA is filed under the name uncultured bacterium. RNAcentral describes it as "partial 16S ribosomal RNA". It matches the Rfam family "Bacterial small subunit ribosomal RNA", at positions 28 to 507 of the family's 1533-position model. The record is from RNAcentral.